AGAGUUUGAUCUUGGCUCAGAACGAACGCUGGCGGCAGGCCUAACACAUGCAAGUCGAACGCUCCGCAAGGGGAGUGGCAGACGGGUGAGUAACACGUGGGAAUCUACCUAGUGGUACGGAACAACCAAGAGAAAUUUUGGCUAAUACCGUAUACGCCCUUAGGGGGAAAGAUUUAUCGCCAUUAGAUGAGCCCGCGUCGGAUUAGGUAGUUGGUGAGGUAAUGGCUCACCAAGCCUACGAUCCGUAGCUGGUCUGAGAGGAUGAUCAGCCACAUUGGGACUGAGACACGGCCCAAACUCCUACGGGAGGCAGCAGUGGGGAAUAUUGGACAAUGGGCGAAAGCCUGAUCCAGCCAUGCCGCGUGAGUGAUGAAGGCCCUAGGGUUGUAAAGCUCUUUCGGCGGGGAAGAUAAUGACUGUACCCGCAGAAGAAGCCCCGGCUAACUUCGUGCCAGCCGCCGCAGUAAU
Molecule: ribosomal RNA, 468 nt
Filed under: uncultured Hyphomicrobiaceae bacterium
Lineage: Bacteria; Pseudomonadati; Pseudomonadota; Alphaproteobacteria; Hyphomicrobiales; Hyphomicrobiaceae
Description: bacterial SSU rRNA
Rfam family: Bacterial small subunit ribosomal RNA
Source: RNAcentral